AUACAGAGGGUGCAAGCGUUAAUCGGAAUUACUGGGCGUAAAGAGCACGUAGGUGGCUUGGUAAGUCGGAUGUGAAAUCCCCGGGCUCAACCUGGGAAUUGCAUUCGAUACUGCCAUACUAGAGUCUAGCAGAGGGAUGCGGAAUUCCGGGUGUAGCGGUGAAAUGCGUAGAGAUCCGGAGGAACAUCAGUGGCGAAGGCGGCAUCCUGGGCUAAGACUGACACUGAGGUGCGAAAGCGUGGGGAGCAAACAGGAUUAGAAACCCCGGUAGUCC
This 274-nucleotide ribosomal RNA is filed under the name uncultured bacterium. RNAcentral's name for it is "partial 16S ribosomal RNA". It matches the Rfam family "Bacterial small subunit ribosomal RNA", at positions 523 to 796 of the family's 1533-position model. The record is from RNAcentral.